RNAcentral lists this ribosomal RNA (439 nucleotides) under uncultured bacterium. RNAcentral describes it as "bacterial SSU rRNA". It matches the Rfam family "Bacterial small subunit ribosomal RNA", at positions 954 to 1392 of the family's 1533-position model. The record is from RNAcentral.
GCAGAACGCGAAGAACCUUACCCACCUUUGACAUGUACGGAAGUUGCCAGAGAUGGCUUCGUGCUCGAAAGAGAGCCGUAACACAGGUGCUGCAUGGCUGUCGUCAGCUCGUGUCGUGAGAUGUUGGGUUAAGUCCCGCAACGAGCGCAACCCUUAUUAACAGUUGCCAUCAUUAAGUUGGGCACUCUGUUGAGACCGCCGGUGAUAAAUCGGAGGAAGGUGGGGACGAUGUCAAGUCAUCAUGGCCUUUAUGCUUAGGGCUACACACGUGCUACAAUGGACGGUACAAAACGUCGCGAUCCCGCGAGGGGGAGCUAAUCGCAAAAAACCGUUCUCAGUUCGGAUUGAAGUCUGCAACUCGACUUCAUGAAGUUGGAAUCGCUAGUAAUCGCAAAUCAGCAUGUUGCGGUGAAUACGUUCCCGGGUCUUGUACACACCG